UCCCUGGUAGCUCAGAGGGUAAAGCCUCUGCCUGCAGUGCAUGAGACCCGGGUUCGAUUCCUGGAUAGGGAA
Molecule: transfer RNA, 72 nt
Filed under: Bos taurus (domestic cattle)
Lineage: Eukaryota; Metazoa; Chordata; Mammalia; Artiodactyla; Bovidae
Also listed under: 5 other names
Rfam family: tRNA
About the family: Transfer RNA (tRNA) molecules are approximately 80 nucleotides in length. Their secondary structure includes four short double-helical elements and three loops (D, anti-codon, and T loops). Further hydrogen bonds mediate the characteristic L-shaped molecular structure. tRNAs have two regions of fundamental functional importance: the anti-codon, which is responsible for specific mRNA codon recognition, and the 3' end, to which the tRNAs corresponding amino acid is attached (by aminoacyl-tRNA synthetases). tRNAs cope with the degeneracy of the genetic code in two manners: having more than one tRNA (with a specific anti-codon) for a particular amino acid; and 'wobble' base-pairing, i.e. permitting non-standard base-pairing at the 3rd anti-codon position.
Source: Rfam by way of RNAcentral